RNAcentral lists this ribosomal RNA (802 nucleotides) under uncultured Microbacterium sp. RNAcentral's name for it is "bacterial SSU rRNA". It matches the Rfam family "Bacterial small subunit ribosomal RNA", at positions 310 to 1123 of the family's 1533-position model. Lineage: Bacteria; Bacillati; Actinomycetota; Actinomycetes; Micrococcales; Microbacteriaceae. The record is from RNAcentral.
ACAUUGGGACUGAGAUACGNNCCAGACUCNUAUGGGAGGCAGCAGUGGGGAAUAUUGCACAAUGGGCGGAAGCCUGAUGCAGCAACGCCGCGUGAGGGACGACGGCNUUCGGGUUGUAAACCUCUUUUAGCAGGGAAGAAGCGAAAGUGACGGUACCUGCAGAAAAAGCACCGGCUAACUACGUGCCAGCAGCCGCGGUAAUACGUAGGGUGCAAGCGUUAUCCGGAAUUAUUGGGCGUAAAGAGCUCGUAGGCGGUUUGUCGCGUCUGCUGUGAAAACUGGAGGCUCAACCUCCAGCCUGCAGUGGGUACGGGCAGACUAGAGUGCGGUAGGGGAGAUUGGAAUUCCUGGUGUAGCGGUGGAAUGCGCAGAUAUCAGGAGGAAUACCGAUGGCGAAGGCAGAUCUCUGGGCCGUAACUGACGCUGAGGAGCGAAAGGGUGGGGAGCAAACAGGCUUAGAUACCCUGGUAGUCCACCCCGUAAACGUUGGGAACUAGUUGUGGGGACCAUUCCACGGUUUCCGUGACGCAGCUAACGCAUUAAGUUCCCCGCCUGGGAAGUACGGCCACAAGGCUAAAACUCAAAGGAAUUGACGGGGACCCGCACAAGCGGCGGAGCAUGCGGAUUAAUUCGAUGCAACGCGAAGAACCUUACCAAGGCUUGACAUAUACGAGAACGGGCCAGAAAUGGUCAACUCUUUGGACACUCGUAAACAGGUGGUGCAUGGUUGUCGUCAGCUCGUGUCGUGAGAUGUUGGGUUAAGUCCCGCAACGAGCGCAACCCUCGUUCUAUGUUGCCANCA